RNAcentral lists this ribosomal RNA (327 nucleotides) under uncultured eukaryote. Its description in RNAcentral is "partial 18S ribosomal RNA". It matches the Rfam family "Eukaryotic small subunit ribosomal RNA", at positions 1470 to 1796 of the family's 1831-position model. The record is from RNAcentral.
CCCUUAGAUGUUCUGGGCCGCACACGCGCUACACUGAAGGAGGCAGCGUGUACUCCUGGAUCGAAAGAUUUGGGUAACCCGCGAAUCUCCUUCGUGCUAGGGAUUGAGGUUUGCAAUUAUCCUUCAUGAACGAGGAAUUCCCAGUAAGUGCAAGUCAUAAGCUUGCGCUGACUACGUCCCUGCCCUUUGUACACACCGCCUGUCGCUACUACCGAUUGAAUGAUUUAGUGAGGACUUCGGACUGGGACCGAUGCGGCUUUCGGGCUGCGUCGGUAUUCUGGAAAGAUGUCCAAACUGUAUCAUUUAGAGGAAGUAAAANUCGUANCA